GCAAGUCGAGGGGUAACAGGAGAGCUUGCUCUCGCUGACGACCGGCGCACGGGUGCGUAACGCGUAUGCAACCUGCCUUUUACUGGAAGAUAGCCCGGAGAAAUUCGGAUUAAUAUUCCAUAGUAUUACAGUUCCGCAUGGUUUUGUGAUUAAAGUUCCGACGGUAAAAGAUGGGCAUGCGUGACAUUAGCUUGUUGGUGAGGUAACGGCUCACCAAGGCAACGAUGUCUAGGGGGUCUAAGAGGAUGAUC
Molecule: ribosomal RNA, 251 nt
Filed under: uncultured bacterium
Lineage: Bacteria
Description: partial 16S ribosomal RNA
Rfam family: Bacterial small subunit ribosomal RNA
Source: RNAcentral